Molecule: long non-coding RNA, 234 nt
Filed under: Chinchilla lanigera (long-tailed chinchilla)
Lineage: Eukaryota; Metazoa; Chordata; Mammalia; Rodentia; Chinchillidae
Description: lncRNA (ENSCLAG00000023438.1)
Source: RNAcentral
GGAAAACACUGGGUCCCCCGACAGUGACAGAACUGAGGCAGCAGCUCUGGAUAUUCAAGUUGGUAGCUGUUCCUUGGAGUGGAGCUGCAUCAUCUGUAAAUGCAAAGAUGAAGGUACCUAGAGCUCACGCUUCUGAUUGUGCCCUUUGGUACAGAUUGAAGUGACAUCCAUUACCAGAAAAAACAAUCAUUAACAAAAGCCAAAGUCCAAAACUAAGCCUUUAACUGAAGAAAA